ACUCUCGGCAACGGAUAUCUCGGCUCACGCAUCGAUGAAGAACGUAGCAAAAUGCGAUACUUGGUGUGAAUUGCAGAAUCCCGUGAACCAUCGAGUUUUUGAACGCAAGUUGCGCCCAAAGCCUUUUGGUUGAGGGCACGUCUGCCUGGGCGUCACACAUCGUGUCGC
Molecule: ribosomal RNA, 168 nt
Filed under: Munnozia nivea
Lineage: Eukaryota; Viridiplantae; Streptophyta; Magnoliopsida; Asterales; Asteraceae
Description: 5.8S ribosomal RNA
Rfam family: 5.8S ribosomal RNA
About the family: 5.8S ribosomal RNA (5.8S rRNA) is a component of the large subunit of the eukaryotic ribosome. It is transcribed by RNA polymerase I as part of the 45S precursor that also contains 18S and 28S rRNA.
Source: RNAcentral